Piliocolobus tephrosceles (Ugandan red Colobus) is the source of this 1031-nucleotide RNA transcript. It is a transcript of the gene named leucine-rich repeat-containing protein 37A-like, with no coding region annotated. The transcript has a single exon. The record is from RefSeq and is a predicted model, not a curated record. Lineage: Eukaryota; Metazoa; Chordata; Mammalia; Primates; Cercopithecidae.
AUGCCAGGUCAGGAUCAAGCUCAGCAUCCAAUAUUAACCAGCGUUACAGCUUAACUUUUGGACCUGGGACUUACUAUCACUCCAGAACCCACUACGGUGGUUGAACAUUCUACACCCUUGAAGAAGACUCUAGUUCCUCCAAAGCACCCUAAGGUGACACUUCCACAUCCAGACCAGGUUCAGACUCACCAUUCAAACCUGACUCAAGCCAUAGUUCAACCUUUGGAUCUGGAAUUUACCUUAGCUCCAGAAUCCACUAUGGAGGUUGAACCUUCUCCAACCAUGCAGAAGACCCUAACUUGGUCUCUAGAGCUACGUAAGGAGGUUGUAGCUCAACCUCCUGUAUAUUAUGAGAUGUAUGUGCCAACACCAGGCCAGGAUCAAGCUCAGCAUCCAACAUCACCCAGCGUCACAGUUCAACCUUUGGAUCUAGGGCUUAUCAUCACUCCAGAAUCUAUUACAGAGGUUGAAACUUCUAUAGCCCUGAUGACUACAGCUCCUCCUCCAGAGCACCUUGAGGUGACACUUCCACCUCCAGACAAGGGCCAGACUCAGCAUUCAAACCUGACUCAAGUCACAGUUCAACCUCUGGACCUGGAGCUUACCAUAACUACAGAACCUACUAUAGAGGUUAAACCAUCUCCAACCAUGGAGGAGACCUCAACUCAGCCUCCAGACCUGGGGUUUGCCAUCACUCCAGAACCCACUGCAGAGAUUGGACAUUCUACAGCCCUGGAGAAGACUACAGCUCCUUGUCCAGACCAGGUUCAGACUCUGCAUCGAAGCCUGACUGAAGUCACAGGUCCACCUACUGAACUAGAAUCUACUCAGGAUUCAUUGAUGCAGUCUGAAAGUUACCCCCAAAAUAAGGCUUUAACUGCACCAGAGGAACAGAAGGCCUCCACAAGCACCAACAUAUGUGAGCUCUGUACCUGCGGAGAUGAGAUGCUCUCAUGUAUUGAUCUCAGCCCAAAGCAGAGGCUCUGCUGAGUGCCUGUGCCAGAGCCCAAUGCCUACAAUGGCACCUUCAC